This 253-nucleotide ribosomal RNA is filed under the name uncultured bacterium. RNAcentral describes it as "partial 16S ribosomal RNA". It matches the Rfam family "Bacterial small subunit ribosomal RNA", at positions 524 to 776 of the family's 1533-position model. The record is from RNAcentral.
UACGUAGGUGGCGAGCGUUGUUCGGAAUUAUUGGGCGUAAAGGGUUCGUAGGAUGUUUCUUAAGAUUGGUGUGAAAUCCCAAGGCUCAACCUUGGAACUGCAUUGAUGACUGAGAGACUAGAGUAUCGUAGAGGAGAGCGGAAUUCCAGGUGUAGCGGUGGAAUGCGUAGAUAUCUGGAAGAACACCGACAGCGAAGGCAGCUCUCUGGGCGAAAACUGACUCUGAGGAACGAAAGCGUGGGUAGCAAACAGG